This 253-nucleotide ribosomal RNA is filed under the name uncultured bacterium. RNAcentral's name for it is "partial 16S ribosomal RNA". It matches the Rfam family "Bacterial small subunit ribosomal RNA", at positions 524 to 776 of the family's 1533-position model. The record is from RNAcentral.
UACAGAGGUCUCAAGCGUUGUUCGGAUUCAUUGGGCGUAAAGGGUGCGUAGGCGGCGCGGUAAGUCGGGUGUGAAAUCUUGGAGCUUAACUCCGAAACUGCAUUCGAUACUGCCGUGCUUGAGGACGGGAGAGGAGACUGGAAUUUACGGUGUAGCGGUGAAAUGCGUAGAUAUCGUAAGGAAGACCAGUGGCGAAGGCGGGUCUCUGGACAGUUCCUGACGCUGAGGCACGAAGGCCAGGGGAGCAAACGGG